ACAUGAUGAGCCAGCUGUCGAGAGCUCCCUGAGGUAGCCUGUCCGAUGGUCUCAGAAAGAGCACUGGACUGGGAGUCAGCAGGCCUAAGGGA
Molecule: microRNA precursor, 92 nt
Filed under: Mustela putorius furo (domestic ferret)
Lineage: Eukaryota; Metazoa; Chordata; Mammalia; Carnivora; Mustelidae
Description: miRNA (ENSMPUG00000023704.1)
Source: RNAcentral